UGUUAAAACACUGAGUUAUGGCAACACUGUUUGAGAAUAUUGUUGCUUAGUUUUCCCUAGCCCUUUCUGUGGAUGAUAGCAUUGUCAAAUAAUCCUCUAUAUAUUUCUGUGAGUUCUUAAAAUCUCCACUAAUCUCAUUUUGAUUGGUUUAGGGUAUACUACAUUUCAGAGCACCUUAGUCCAGAUGCCCCACAUACAAUCCCGUUUUCAGUUCUAUUCUGAAGUAAGUCUAUUGUGUUGAGCUCCAGAUCUACUUGUCUGUUGGAGAGUUUGACACAAUGACAUCUGCUCUGAAAAUCCCAUUGAAGCUCAGGUCUUCAUGCAACUUUCAUACAUGCCUCAAUCUGUUAAACUUUUUCAGAAUGCUGGAAGCAUGAGUGUACCCAGGUUGGGUAACGAAGGAAGCCUACUAAAUUCCUUUUAAGUGUCUGUCCUAAUCCAGGCGAUUGCUAAGAAAAGAACAGUAAAUAAUUAUUUGAAAAAUGAGGUACAAUCAUGGGUCCUUCAAGAAUGUAAAAAAAAGAUAACCUGAUGGAUGAGUUAAUAGGCACACAUCUAUUCAGACAGGCACACAGGGAUGGAUGAGCCUGAUGCCUGUGAAGCAAUCACUCAUUAGACAUGUUAGCUAUUAUUAUUAUCUGUUUGUGCUACAUAGCACUAGGAGCCUCCUGCUGAGACUUCAAUGCCAUUGUGCACACAGUAAGAGAGUACUGACAGCCUCAACACAUUUCCAGACUCAGUGGUCAGAGGUCAGCAAAUAAUUGCAUUAUUUGUGCACAGGGGGUGGAGGCACCCAAAGAUGAAACAACUUGCUCCUCAAUUUGUCAGUGAUGCUUCAAGGAGGAGUCAUUCUAAGGCUGCUGGAUGACUUCUGGUAGCCAGACCAGUUUGGGCAUUCUUUCAUAAUGUUGUUGUGCUAUAUUCUUGUUGUGUUGUAGUUGUGUUGUUGGAUUCUCAAAUUGGAUUCUCCCAUAAGAGAAAAAAUUUCCAUGACUUUCCUUUAAAUUAUGAGCGGAAUAUCAAAUACAUGUGGUGUACAUGUGGUUCCAGCAGCUGUGCCUGGAAUAGAUUUCUCAAAGUUUCAGCUCAUGGAAAAAACCUAGUUGUCUUUCUUGUUGCAUUUUCACUUAUAUUUGUCUCUCCUUUUAACCUGCUGUUAGAGACUUAUGGAGAAAAGGAAUGCUUCCCAAAGAAAGACAAAUGAGAUAAGUUACCAAAUUAGUUCAUUUCAGUUGCUUUUGUUCAAGUGACAGUUCUAAAGGACAGCAGGCUAAAUGACUCAGAAGUGUGAGAAGAAUUUGAGUACAAUUUAUUAUCUUGACAUCCUUUAUAUAAUCUUUGUUUUGUGCUGUACUUCAGAAACUGUCUCAUUAAAUAAAUUUCCAAACAUUUCAUUAUUUUCUUUACCUAAAUCUAUUUUUAAGCAAUUUCUUUUUCACCAUGGGAAGAUUAAUUUUUUGACAGACAUCUGAGGACUGUGCACAGGAUUUUUAUAUACCUCUUCAUCACAUGCCGCAUACACCUGCUCAGGGGUGUAUGUGUGCUCCCCUAAGCAGGGGCACCUGUCUUAGAAUUGCUGUUUUAAUGGGUUUUGUCAACUUUUGGCCCCCACCUUUUUUUAGAUUUGAGUUCUGCUGGCAAGUUCAUAUGCAUUGUAUUCUCUUACAUCUUUGUCUUUUGAUUCAAUUUAUCCCAGUAUUGGUGAUUGGCAUAGUUUUUAGUUUUCCUUUUCUCUCCCUGUCAAGGUCAGAUUUUAGGAGCCAGGCUGGCAGAGCCAAGCAGCAGCAUGCUAUUUCCCUGUGCCUCUGAAGGUUACAGGGGGUACAGGCAAUAAAAAACCACAUCAGAGCUGCCUCAGAAUGACAGGCCCAGAUCUGAGACUUUUGUCAGCUUUUAUCUGUGCUACUUGAACUGAAUCAGAUUUGGCAUCAAUUUUAUCUACAAUUAAACAAGAAGUUGACUUUAAUAAGAGCACAAAGAGAGACUGCAGUGCUGGCCUGGCAUAAAAAGGUGUAGAAAAAGCCAUUUCAAAUCUUGACAAUAGACACAGACACCAAAACCUUGAAUAUCCUAAUGGUCUACACCUCCUAUUCUAUGCUUUGUAUAAAUGUUUCCUUUGCAGUCUAAUUUAUUCCACCAUUUUUAAAAAGUUCAUGUGAAAGAAAAGCAGAGCAUAUGUAAUGAUACAAUUCACAUUUUGCCAUUAAUCACAUGUACGUGUACACGUUUUUGCUUAUCUUACGUAAGAAUAUCUACAGUGGGUCAAAUCAUCUGCUUUCCAGUAGUGGUCAAAAAGCUUGGGGCACUCUAUGGGAUCAGAACAAAUACAUAUGGUAUUUUUCUGAUGAUUCUCUCAGUCCAUUAUCAUCUGCCCUUCAGGCACCUCCUGAACUGGGAGUUGUUUCCAUGAAAUUAGCAACUCCUGGUGCAUUUCUCUUCUGUGAAAUUCUCAAGCCUCUCCUUGAAGCCAUGUAAGAUUUUACCAUCCAUGACUCGUGGUGAGGAAUUCUGCCCCUCAACUGCAACACCACCUGCAAGAGUCUCUUUUUUGAUUUGAGACUAAUUUCUGGCAGCCUCAUUUGAUGUACCAACUACCACAAUAUCGUGCCUUAGGGAGCUACAGUGGGAAAAGCUCUGGUAAUGGAAUGUAGCACUUUGUAGGAGGCUAUGUUUUUUACUGUUGGGUCCCAAGUGAGAGCAAGUGAGAGCUCCGCCUCUUCAUAAAAUGUCUGAAGAGUAUGAAAGUGCAACCAAUCUAGUGAGGGGAAGGAGGUUUGCCUCCCGUUAUCAGAACUGAUAUGGUUAUAUAUAACUCUAACACUUCACUCUAAUUUCUCCUGCUCUAUUUUUCAGGUUCAGUAUGCUUCUGGUCUCAUAGUUUGGGAAACCAGAUACUGCAAGGAUUGUUACAUUUAAAUAAACAUUUUAAUGCUUGCUAUAAUACUGCAGCUAUGUCAUAACCAGAAAACAUGGAUUUUAAAAAUGUAAUAGUAAAGUUCACAGAGUUGCCUCUGCAAGGUAUGCUACAUGUGGAUUUAUCCAGAGAAAGGACAGGGAGAGGAGCUGAGGACCAUGGUUCUGUAGCCAUCUCACUGCUAUUCCACACUCCACAGGUAACCCCUCCCUCUGUAUGCCCCUCUGCAACCUCCCUUGAUCACGGGACUUGUCCAGCUUGAUCACUGUACUGAAAUGCCUGGUCAUUGGUGUUGAGAGGUUUUGUGUCAAUGAGAGAUGGCAAGGCAGCACUAUUGAGGACUGAGCCCAGCAGCUGUAGAGGCCAACCCUUCCACUCCUGCCCUACCAGCAAAGGCUCUGGGAUGCCUUGUGGAAUGGGAGAUUACCAGCAUGAAUGAAAACCUAAUGGUGGACUGAUGGCUGUAAGGAAUUCAGUUCUUAAUGUACCGCAUCAAAGACUGAGAGCAAGAAUACGGAUCCCUUUGGAGAUCCUUGCAGGGUGACAGCACAGGACACAGGAGGCUGGCUGACUGCACCCAUAGCAAGCUCAUCUACUUAGGAAGGAGCAAACCUGAAGGAAUUUGUUCUAGGACCAUGACUUUAUUUUUACAAGUAAUGCACAACCAUUUCCUAUAAAACAACAUCUCGGAUCUUGGACCACCCUUAUCAUGGGUCUGGAGAACGGUUCAUCCACCUCAAGUCUGCCUUGAAAACUGCCUUGCACUUUUCCAUAUCAAAAGACUUUCACUGAUUAACUUGGAGGGCUACAAUUUGAAUUGUGCAAAGAUCAAUGGAUCAGUGCUGGAAUGGCCUUCACAUUUGCCCUCCACGCACUACUUAAAUGAAGAAAAGAUUUAUCCUUUUAAAAAUGCAUUUUUGAGCUCUUUUUAUUGCCUUCUUUUCCCUUGAAAGUGCAGGUCUGGAGUAGGAGUGUAGCAAUUUUCAAAUAUGUGAAAUGUAUUUUUCAUAUGAUUGAAGGGCCAAAGAUAACUUAGCAUGAUUUGGACACAUGAAGAGAUGAACUCGUCAAUUCACCUAUUCUUAUUUGAAUAAACUGUGAAUAAAUUGUAUUUUACAACCUGAUCAUUUGCCUAUAUCAUAAUCAAGAGUCUAGGAAGCUGUAUUGUGUACUGUCAUAUAAACUUGUAAAUGCUAUACCACUGUGGUUCAGAUACUUCUGUCCCAGGGCAAUAACUUCUGCUCAGCAAUUCUUUCACCAGUGGCUUUCCAGUCUGGAAGCAUACAAGAAUUUUCCUAUGUCCAUGUCAAGCUUUAUUUCAGGCUCAGUUUAAAACAUCACUUCUCCUGGCUUAUCUCUUCUGUAUUGACCCAUAUGGCAAAACUCACAUGAUGGAAAGCACCCUGCCAGGAGGAUUUCCAUUUGAGGCAACAUUGAACCUGGUGACAGACUCUGUGUACCCUGGAGUAGGGUAGGAACUUGGACAUGCUUUAUCAUCAGAGGAAGAUUACAAAUUUAACCACAUGUUCUGGAAGGAUAAUUGCUUCAGAUUGCCAUUUUGUAUAAUCUUCAUAAUCCACGGAGUUAAUUUAAAUGCUCCAAACAUGCUAGUACUUGGGUAUAUGAUGAGAACAAGUACAUUUUUUUUCUGGGAUUUUGAUACAAACCAAAGAAAAACAGACACUCAGUUCAGCUUUUAAUUGGAAAAUGGAUGGCUGUCAGACUCCUUUGAAAAAGCCUUUUCUAAAUGUGCCUUACUGGUGUUGUCAUACUCAAUUUUUUCCUGUAAGGAAAAUAGAUUGCUUGCUUCUCAGUGGCAAAUUACUGUACCGAUGUACUCAAAACAUGGUGGUAUUAACCCAGUCAGCUGCACUGUAUUAUCAAAAUUUUCAUUUCUGCAAAAAUUUAUUGGGUGACUGGGCUGUUGUAGUAUCAGAGUACCUGCCCACCUUAUGUCUACUUACAAUAUUACAUAUGCUGCUCCUUUAAUUUUCAUAUAUGUUUCCCUGGAGUUCACAGUAUUCUGAAGAAUCUGUAGUUAAUAUUCUAAGAGUGCAGUUUAUAUUAGCUGAGCAGAAUGGCCUUGCAUUGCUCCCCCAAGCAGCUGGCAUUUUCAACGAAAAAUAUACUUCUGCAUAUCCAUGCACUGCUUCCCAGAGUACUGAGCACUGACUGUACAGACUUGUGAAGGUGUUGUACUAAGAGAGGGUUCCUAUUUCAAGCAUCAGAGUUAAAGCUGAAAUGUACAAAAGAAAAUCUGAAGCACAUCAUUCAUGAAUCAGGUUCUAGAUGAUUACAAUGAUUCCUCCUUAAAAUUAAAGACAAAUUUGUGAAAAUUCCUGUUAAAUAUUAUUUUUAAG
Molecule: long non-coding RNA, 5274 nt
Organism: Pseudopipra pipra
Lineage: Eukaryota; Metazoa; Chordata; Aves; Passeriformes; Pipridae
Exons: 4
Source: RefSeq, a predicted model, not a curated record